This 253-nucleotide non-coding RNA is filed under the name uncultured bacterium. RNAcentral's name for it is "partial 16S ribosomal RNA". It matches the Rfam family "Bacterial small subunit ribosomal RNA", at positions 524 to 776 of the family's 1533-position model. The record is from RNAcentral. RNAcentral also lists the same sequence under 1 other name.
UACGUAGGGUGCGAGCGUUAAUCGGAAUUACUGGGCGUAAAGCGUGCGCAGGCGGUUUGCUAAGACAGGUGUGAAAUCCCCGGGCUUAACCUGGGAACUGCGCUUGUGACUGGCAGGCUAGAGUACGGUAGAGGGGGGUGGAAUUCCUGGUGUAGCAGUGAAAUGCGUAGAUAUCAGGAGGAACACCGAUGGCGAAGGCAGCCCCCUGGGCCUGUACUGACGCUCAUGCACGAAAGCGUGGGGAGCAAACAGG